GGGGUAGGGAUUUUAGGCCCCAAUUAGAAGAUAACUAUACAACUUACUACUUUCCCUGGUGUGUAGCACAUUCA
This 74-nucleotide microRNA precursor is filed under the name Capra hircus (goat). RNAcentral's name for it is "miRNA (ENSCHIG00010022355.1)". The record is from RNAcentral. Lineage: Eukaryota; Metazoa; Chordata; Mammalia; Artiodactyla; Bovidae.